CCUUCCCCAAACUUCGACGGGGCGGCCGCGGCGGGGCUGCGAGCUUAGGAACGGCACGGCAUGGCGAACAGGAACAGCAAGGCGCUGAGCUGGUGACCCCGGCGGCGCCCAGCCCGGCUCUGUUACACCCCGACACCCCAUCCCACCGGCAGGGAGAGGGUCCGCAGAGCCCGCAGCAGGGUGCCGGACCCGAACCACCACCUGGACGCUGAACCCAAACAUCUCCUGGAUGGAGGCCCCAAACCUCCACGAGGAUGCCGGACCCAAACCAGUACCCGGGUGCUGAACCCAAAGCAUCGCCCGGGUGCUGGGACCACUUCUGAGCAGGACGGGCAGACGCAGCCGGCUGCGGAGGAGGGCUCGGCGCUCUGGCCUUGCUGCUGAGGCUGGCUCGGAGCAGCAGUUCGGGAGGUGACGUUCCCAUCUGCCGCAGGGAUCUGCACGGGUUAGGGAUGGAUGGUCCAAAUCUCACGUGGAAGGAGUGAAAUAAAGUUUUUCGCAAAGUGUC
Molecule: long non-coding RNA, 508 nt
Organism: Aquila chrysaetos chrysaetos
Lineage: Eukaryota; Metazoa; Chordata; Aves; Accipitriformes; Accipitridae
Exons: 2
Source: RefSeq, a predicted model, not a curated record